UACGUAGGGUGCGAGCGUUGUCCGGAAUUAUUGGGCGUAAAGGGCUCGUAGGCGGUCUGUCGCGUCGGGAGUGAAAACUCAGGGCUUAACCCUGAGCCUGCUUCCGAUACGGGCAGACUAGAGGUAUGCAGGGGAGAACGGAAUUCCUGGUGUAGCGGUGAAAUGCGCAGAUAUCAGGAAGAACACCCGUGGCGAAGGCGGUUCUCUGGGACGGUACUGACGCUGAGACGCGAAAGCGUGGGGAGCGAACAGG
RNAcentral lists this ribosomal RNA (253 nucleotides) under uncultured bacterium. Its description in RNAcentral is "partial 16S ribosomal RNA". It matches the Rfam family "Bacterial small subunit ribosomal RNA", at positions 524 to 776 of the family's 1533-position model. The record is from RNAcentral.